GGCCUCAAAUAAUGUGCGACUACCCC
This 26-nucleotide ribosomal RNA is filed under the name Anopheles deaneorum. Its description in RNAcentral is "partial 28S ribosomal RNA". The record is from RNAcentral. Lineage: Eukaryota; Metazoa; Arthropoda; Insecta; Diptera; Culicidae.